UACGGAGGGUGCAAACGUUGCUCGGAAUCAUUGGGCGUAAAGCGCACGUAGGCGGUUCGGUAAGUCGGGAGUGAAAUCCCUCGGCUCAACCGAGGAAGUGCUUUCGAAACUACCGAACUUGAGUAUGGAAGAGGGUCGCGGAAUUCCCGGUGUAGAGGUGAAAUUCGUAGAUAUCGGGAGGAACACCAGUGGCGAAGGCGGCGACCUGGGCCAAUACUGACGCUGAGGUGCGAAAGCGUGGGGAGCAAACAGG
Molecule: ribosomal RNA, 253 nt
Filed under: uncultured bacterium
Lineage: Bacteria
Description: partial 16S ribosomal RNA
Rfam family: Bacterial small subunit ribosomal RNA
Source: RNAcentral